CUUUCCACGUUGCACAAGCCCAGCGCACGGUACCCACUGGAUAUGCCCGAGGCCUCCAGAGGAAAGGAAAGGAGGAAAAGGGACAGAAGAAAUGUUCACAGGAACUGCAUAUGGGCCUGCUACUUGUGUCAAAAUGUGACUGAACUCUCUUCCAGCAGGUGUGGGGAAAAGAGUGACUUCACCUUAAAUGUUAACCUGCCAUGUAACUUCUGACUAAUCCCAGGUCCAGAAAUGCCUCCAAAUGUCUCGUUGCUGUAUUACUCUUUAUGUGGAAACACCUGUUCACUUGUGAAUCCCUGGAAGGCAAGAUCGCCAUUCUGGUCUCUUGUGGAUAUCAAUGCUGAUCUCAGCUUCUGAUGCACGGCAGUCAAUUAAUAAAUGAUUGUUGCCUGAAAAACUGAGCCCCAAAACAAUAUUACAAGUUUAAUAUCAGUAAAGGAUUUAAUGCUUUCUAACAUGAAGAUACCAGAUCUUUUCUAUUCCUGGACUUUUAGAGUUGCUGAUUUUUGUAUAACCCAGAGAUGGAUUUAAAUGCAGAGUGUAUGAACUUCUUCAUUCCUGAGGGAGGACUUAUGAUUUCAUGAGAAAUGCCCUAGGAAAGGGGCCGGGGAGACUGAUGGAGAAGAAGAGUUUGGGAGGGAAGCCCCAAGGACCAUCUGCCCCAUCAGAGUCACAUGCAGAGGGUCCUGCUCCUGCCGUUGGAAGUUGGCUUCCUGAGCUGCUGAACGUGCCAGUCCUGCUGACCCACUCUCAGAUAUCACAGGCACCCGCUGUGUCUGACAGAGACCUUUCUGCAAGUACACGUGCAGGUCUGCUCUGCAAAGGCGUUAUCAUCUGCAGAUUAUUGCACAGAGUGGCUACGAGCUGUGGUGUGAUCCUGUCACAGAGAGAGCCUGGUCACGUUUUCAGAACAGCAGGAAACAGGUACACCUGUAAGCUUAUACUUAUCAGAUUUAAAAAUAAAACAAAAAAUCCAUGCUAUUCCAUGAAAAUCGGACUCAAAUAAACUUAGUCACUGAUCUGUGAAGUAAAUAAUCUGAUGGUAAUGCAUCAGUUGACACUUGGGCCUGGGUUUUUAGGCACUAAUGAAAGCCAGGGGCAAAAUAAUUUUUAAUCUACCAUUAUUUCCCUUGAUGGUUCGACAAAAGUUCUUGUACUAGAAAGUUUUAUAAAACUACUUUCUGAGUGUCCUGUGACAUUUCUCUGAUGAUAUAAAAAGUCAAUAUUUGAUAGCUUAAAUAUCAAUAUUGACAGAAAUAUGAUUAUUUAAAUAAAAACACAAAUAGUAAAAUAAUUUUAUAUG
This 1303-nucleotide long non-coding RNA is filed under the name Homo sapiens (human). Its description in RNAcentral is "uncharacterized LOC102723341, transcript variant 1 (LOC102723341)". The record is from RNAcentral. Lineage: Eukaryota; Metazoa; Chordata; Mammalia; Primates; Hominidae.